UACGAAGGGGGCUAGCGUUGUUCGGAUUUACUGGGCGUAAAGCGCACGUAGGCGGUUUGUUAAGUCGAGGGUGAAAUCCCAGAGCUCAACUCUGGAACUGCCUUUGAUACUGGCAAGCUAGAGUCCGGAAGAGGUAAGUGGAACUCCUAGUGUAGAGGUGGAAUUCGUAGAUAUUAGGAAGAACACCAGUGGCGAAGGCGGCUUACUGGUCCAUUACUGACGCUGAAGCACGAAAGCUAGGGGAGCAAACAGG
RNAcentral lists this ribosomal RNA (253 nucleotides) under uncultured bacterium. RNAcentral's name for it is "partial 16S ribosomal RNA". It matches the Rfam family "Bacterial small subunit ribosomal RNA", at positions 524 to 776 of the family's 1533-position model. The record is from RNAcentral.